Molecule: small nucleolar RNA, 107 nt
Filed under: Gossypium hirsutum (cotton)
Lineage: Eukaryota; Viridiplantae; Streptophyta; Magnoliopsida; Malvales; Malvaceae
Description: Plant small nucleolar RNA R71
Rfam family: Plant small nucleolar RNA R71
About the family: R71 is a member of the C/D box family of snoRNAs containing the C (UGAUGA) and D (CUGA) box motifs.
Source: Rfam by way of RNAcentral
AACCCAUGGUGGGGGCACCCUCUCAAGAGGUCCUUGUAUCUCUCCCAUGCAUCGUAGAGUGUUUCUAAAUAUAUCUGCAUAAAAGAAGUGAUUUCAUUACGUAAUUU